RNAcentral lists this ribosomal RNA (407 nucleotides) under uncultured bacterium. RNAcentral's name for it is "bacterial SSU rRNA". It matches the Rfam family "Bacterial small subunit ribosomal RNA", at positions 335 to 736 of the family's 1533-position model. The record is from RNAcentral.
ACUCCUACGGGAGGCAGCAGUAGGGAAUAUUGGUCAAUGGGCGAAAGCCUGAACCAGCCAUGCCGCGUGUCAGAUGAAGGUCCUCUGGAUUGUAAAUGACUUUUCUACGGGAAGAAUGAGCCGUCUGCGGACGGAAGUUGACGGUACCGUAGGAAUAAGCACCGGCUAACUACGUGCCAGCAGCCGCGGUAAUACGUAGGGGUGCAAGCGUUGUCCGGAUUUACUGGGUUUAAAGGGUACGUAGGCGGUUGUGCCAAGUCUGGGGUGAAAGUUUGCAGCUCAACUGUAAAAUUGCCUUGGAUACUGGUCGGCUAGAGUAGUGGAGCGGUGGCUGGAAUUUAUAGUGUAGCGGUGAAAUGCUUAGAUACUAUGAGGAACACCAAUUGCGAAGGCAGGUCACUGGUCAC